This 404-nucleotide ribosomal RNA is filed under the name uncultured bacterium. Its description in RNAcentral is "bacterial SSU rRNA". It matches the Rfam family "Bacterial small subunit ribosomal RNA", at positions 355 to 776 of the family's 1533-position model. The record is from RNAcentral.
UGAGGAAUAUUGGACAAUGGGCGAAAGCCUGAUCCAACCAUGCCGCGUGAGUGAUGAAGGCCUUCGGGUUGUAAAGCUCUUUCGACGGGGAAGAUAAUGACCGUACCCGUAGAAGAAGCCACGGCUAAAUUCGUGCCAGCAGCCGCGGUAAUACGAAUGUGGCAAGCGUUGUUCGGAAUCACUGGGCGUAAAGAAUGCGUAGGCGGCUUGGCAAGUCAGAAGUGAAAUCCCAGGGCUUAACCCUGGAACUGCUUUUGAAACUGUUAGGCUAGUGUCCCGGAGGGGUUGAUGGAAUUCCGAGUGUAGAGGUGAAAUUCGCAGAUAUUCGGAGGAACACCAGUGGCGAAAGCGAUCAACUGGACGGGUACAGACGCUGAGGCAUGAAAGUGUGGGGAUCAAACAGG